Molecule: long non-coding RNA, 632 nt
Organism: Acanthopagrus latus (yellowfin seabream)
Lineage: Eukaryota; Metazoa; Chordata; Actinopteri; Spariformes; Sparidae
Exons: 3
Source: RefSeq, a predicted model, not a curated record
CUGCCCUCUUCAGGUCCAGACUGUGUGGGGUUUAUUUUCAGUACUCCGACAGUCUCUCCUGUGCCAUGCUGCUUCUCAGACACGUCUUAAUUAGUUUAAGUUUUUAGAAGGAUCUUUCGGCGCUUGCAACAGUAACAGGUGGUCUUUGUCUCCGCCCCCCAUCAGGUCCAGAUCUGAUGGACAACCAAUCCAAGCAGGAGCACCGGGCUCAAUGGACCAACACCUGCAGCCUGAGAUGGGUCGGACAGAGAGACGAAGCUGCGUUCAUGUUCACACUGGAUGUGUGUGAAACAAAGCACCAGUGUUCACAGAGGAUGUUUCUCAGUGAGUCACAGAAGAAGACGGACGUCCAGACGGGAACACUUCUGACUUUGUUCUGUUCGGGACAGUGAAUGUCCCCUGAUGCACUGUGACCAGACGGACCAAUCAGACCGCAGGACUGUGUCGUGACAGACCGAUGAUGUCACUUUGUUGAGCCCAGAGGUCUGUUUUGCUGCAUCAACACGUCUCCACACGAACGUCAUCAUAUUUUAAUUUUUAUCAUUUUACUUAUUUUAAUAACAUCUGAUUCUGUUCUCGCAUUCAAUGUGAGGUCACGUGACACGUUCAUUCAUAUCGUUAAAGAUAAACUU